UGGACUGUAGCUGGUGCACUUGUGGCUAUCGGGCCUCACAAUUUUGUCCUCUGAACUUUGACCCAAAAGGCGCCUCUUGAGGGUGGAGUGUGCUUCUAUCUCAUAUAAGGCAGAGUAUCCCUGACUCACAACCAAUGUGUGACUAAAUCCCCUAUUUGUUGUGAUCAAAGAACUCUGAGACUCAUACGGAUGGAGGGCUCAUCCCAGCAAGAGAUAGUGUUC
This 222-nucleotide long non-coding RNA is filed under the name Elaeis guineensis (African oil palm). RNAcentral's name for it is "long non-coding RNA (EGUI_LNC021407)". The record is from RNAcentral. Lineage: Eukaryota; Viridiplantae; Streptophyta; Magnoliopsida; Arecales; Arecaceae.